GGCUCACCAAGGCGACGAUGCGUAGCCGACCUGAGAGGGUGAUCGGCCACACUGGGACUGAGACACGGCCCAGACUCCUACGGGAGGCAGCAGUAGGGAAUCUUCCGCAAUGGACGAAAGUCUGACGGAGCAACGCCGCGUGAGUGAUGAAGGUUUUCGGAUUGUAAAACUCUGUUGUUAGGGAAGAACAAGUACAAUAGUAACUGAUUGUACCUUGACGGUACCUAACCAGAAAGCCCCGGCUAACUACGUGCCAGCAGCCGCGGUAAUACGUAGGGGGCAAGCGUUGUCCGGAAUUAUUGGGCGUAAAGCGCGCGCAGGCGGUCCUUUAAGUCUGAUGUGAAAGCCCACGGCUUAACCGUGGAGGGUCAUUGGAAACUGGAGGACUUGAGUGCAGAAGAGGAGAGUGGAAUUCCACGUGUAGCGGUGAAAUGCGUAGAGAUGUGGAGGAACACCAGUGGCGAAGGCGACUCUCUGGUCUGUAACUGACGCUGAGGCGCGAAAGCGUGGGGAGCGAACAGGAUUAGAUACCCUGGUAGUCCACGCCGUAAACGAUGAGUGCUAGGUGUUAGGGGGUUUCCGCCCCUUAGUGCUGAAGUUAACGCAUUAAGCACUCCG
RNAcentral lists this ribosomal RNA (618 nucleotides) under Oceanobacillus sp. Its description in RNAcentral is "bacterial SSU rRNA". It matches the Rfam family "Bacterial small subunit ribosomal RNA", at positions 262 to 871 of the family's 1533-position model. The record is from RNAcentral. Lineage: Bacteria; Bacillati; Bacillota; Bacilli; Caryophanales; Bacillaceae.